UCACACCCCCCCCCCCCGCUCCCCUCUCCAGCCUCACUCCCCCCCCCCCCCCCAGUCUCUGGCCUCCACCCCCUAGGGCCUCUCCUAUCCCAUCUACCCCCACUCCCCUCCCUGGCCUCAGUGCGAUCUCUUCUCCCCCCCUCCCCAAAUUUCUGGAGUCUCUCCUACGCUGCUCCCCUCCCCCUGUGGCCUUCCCCUGACUGUGCUCUCCAGCUGCAAUCCUCUUAUCUUCCUCUAGCUCCUAUGAAUCCCACCCCCUGUUCUCUCCCUUACAUCAACACCACCAGCCUGCUGCCCCAUGUUCUCUGGGGCCUCCCCCACCUACUUCUCCUUCCUACCCCCCCCCACCAUUCUUCUCCCCUAGGGCCUCCACUCCCCAUUCUCUUCCUCUACACCCCACUUUUAUUUUUCCUAUCUCCCCUGGGACCUCAAACCCCCAGUCCACUCUUCUACCCCAUCCCCUGGGGGACCCUGACCCCCUUUCUCCUUCCUUUUCUUCUUCUUCUCUUACCCAUUAUGGGGCUUUACACCUGUUCUCUUGCUUCCAUCCCUCUUCUCUCAUUCCAAGGGCCUCCCCUGCUCGCCCUCCCCGCACCUCCCAGCCUUUACUUCCUUUCUCCUCCAGGGCCUCAUUCUCCUACACAUCUCUUAUCAGCCCUGUGGACCUCAAACUUUCCCAUACCAUGGGGGGCCUGUGCCCAACUCCCAGGCACCUCGUUUUACUGUAUAACUCCCCCCCUCAAUGGCACCUGCCCCAUCACUGGAGGUUGCACUCUUCUUCACUUUCUCUAGCACAUCUCUUCCCCAUGAUAUUUAUCUACUCCUGGACCACGUAUCCUGCCAACUUCCCUAUCCUUAUUCUCUGAGCCUGCAGCCUUCCCUCUCUUGUCCCUCUUUGUGGGGUGCUGUUCCCUGCCACUCACUCUCCUGAUCCCCCUGCUGCUUUAGAACCCUCUGGAAGUGAGGAAACCCAUAUUUCCCAUCCUCGUUCCCUUUCCAUAUUCCCUCUCUGAAGGCAACUUCUCCACCUCCCACAUGAAAAGUCUUUCCUCCUCCCUGGCAGUGGCAUUUCUUCCUCCCUCCAAUGCCUGGUGGUAGGUGCCCCAAACCUGAUUUGUCUCUGGAAUGUCCCCGGGAGAAGCUGUGGAUGCAUCUCACAGAGGUUAUCCUUUUCCAUCCCCUGCUCUCACAGCUUCAUGGAUUACUUUCAACUAGUUGGCUGUGCGCACGUGCCAGGACCAGGGGGGAAAAUGUUAGUUGCUGGAGUCCUCAAAAAGUUUCUUCUGUAGAACUUGAAUGGCCAAUCCUGGGCUCCAGCUGAUCUGGUGUGUGCUCUGAGUGCCCAUUAAGGAAUGAAGUCAUUACUAGAGCUUGUACUUCAUCAAGGCUGUCCCCUUAUCAGAUGGCUAAUAAAUCCUUGGAGUUUAUGUAGCACUUCAGAUCAUUGCAGUGCUAAGUAGCUAAUUCUGAGCACUACUUAGAGGUAAGUAUUAUCCCUGAUUUUGACCCAGGGAAACAGAAGAGAUACUGCAGGCAGACUAAAGCUCUCUUGGGCUAGUAGCAAAGCUGGAUUAGAACCUGGUAGGCAUGACUCCCACUCGCUCCCAGUCCAGAGUUGCAGUCCUAUCUCUAACCACUAGAUCAUACACCCUUUAAAUGUGAAGGGCAAACCCAUUGUUCUUGGUUACCCGCCCCUUGCUGUAAUAGCUGGCCCUCACUGCCUUGAAAGCCAGUUGAGCUUGGAGAAAUUAGAGCUUUGUGUGCAAUGGUCAGUGCUGUGGAAUUUAAGGUUGUAGCAGGUUUGUCAGCAUGGGACUGGGGACCUGGAGCUCCUGAGUUCUAAUAUCCGCUCUGCUGCUGACUCUGUGGUCUUGGGCAAGUCCCUUACUCUUGCUUCACAGAUUUGAGAGAAUAUGAAGCAGUAAAGGGCCCACAAAUGCUAUGAGCUAUUGCUGAUACUUGCGGUAUUUAUAAAAUAGAGACUCUGGAUGAAGUUGCUUUCUAAGGAGAGUUUUUUAGAGCUACAGAAGAAACUUAUUCCAGCAAUGACAUUUUUCACUUCCUGGCAUGUGGGUGGAAUUAUGUCUUGCUGAUUAUUUUUUUUUUAACCCCCUGGAUCUUUACAUCUUAAUUGACUACUCUUCAGAGUAAUGACAGGUUUCAGAGUAGCAGCCGUGUUAGUCUGUAUCCGCUAAA
Molecule: long non-coding RNA, 2196 nt
Organism: Chelonia mydas (Green sea turtle)
Lineage: Eukaryota; Metazoa; Chordata; Testudines; Cheloniidae
Exons: 2
Source: RefSeq, a predicted model, not a curated record